This is a long non-coding RNA of Rattus norvegicus (Norway rat), 592 nucleotides long. The record is from Ensembl. NCBI's taxonomy places the organism in Eukaryota, Metazoa, Chordata, Mammalia, Rodentia, Muridae.
CUGGCACACUGGCGUGGCUGGGCACCUCCUGAGGUUAUGAACACGGACUAUGGAGCAGGGAGAAGGCUCAGAGGAAAAAAGAUCAUAAGUCUGGUUUUGUCUGUUGGGGCAUUUCCAGUGAGGCUUAACUGAGGACAAAACCCCACCAUGAAUUUGCUUGCAGGUGAGGCAGAUGUUGCUGACAGCUGCAAAGUCUUAGUAGGAACAGAUUCUGUAAGAAACUGCAUCCUAAGCCUUCUGAGAAGAUAAACAACAGGAUCUGGGUAAACAGCCCUUACAUAUAUAUGAGGAUGGAAGUUCAAGCCCCAGGAGCCAUGCAAAAUGCCAGUUCUGAAAUGCAGCUCUGCCUGAUUUCAUCAAACACACAAAUUGGGUCAUGAAGAGGAACCACAGGGUAUUAUGCCUGGAUGAUUUCAGAUUCCUCAUUAAUGGGAUUGGAGGAUGACUGUAGCCUAAAUAUCAAGUUUGUAUGAGGAAAAGGCUAAUGGGACCAAACUGCUAAUUCAGGACCAAGAGCAUGGAGUGCCAAUGACAACAUGUCAAGGUGGCCUGCUGAAGGGGCUUUUGGAAGCAGGCAGGCCUGGACUUAAAU